This 627-nucleotide long non-coding RNA is filed under the name Mytilus galloprovincialis (Mediterranean mussel). The record is from RNAcentral. Lineage: Eukaryota; Metazoa; Mollusca; Bivalvia; Mytilida; Mytilidae.
GGUAGAUGAAGAAAUUUAACAUUUGUGAAGAAGAAAGAGAUUGAGCUUCUUUUUUUUAUUUUUAAAUAUGAAGAAUAUGUAUAAGAUAAUGCACUGGGGUGGGGGUAACUUCCUAUUAUUGGGUAUACGGGGAUGUGCCAAAAAUAUGGGUCAUAAUUUUGCGAGAUUUUAUAUAAAAAUGACCCUCCUUUUUAAUGACAUCCUAUAUUAAAAUGCAUUUACGUUUGAUAAUUGUAUAUUGAUUUGGGGUAUGAUCUACAUAUCAUAUAUAAAUAUGCUAUUGAUAUGUGCACCAAACAAUGUCAAUUCAUAUAUAAAAACUUAAGGGUAGCUGGUAUAUUUAUGAAUUAUGAGUGAUGAUGAGUUAGUGCUUAUAUAAGCAUGGGUCAAAUAUUGUAUAUAAGUAUAUGUCAUUCUUUCUUAAAUAUUUAUAUAACUAUAGGUACUGAAUUUCAGUGAAUGUUAUAUUAAAAUGGGUACGUUUUUUGAGACAAAAAUGGCACACCCCUACCAAAAAAAUAUUGAAGUAACCCCCCCUCCCCCCCCCUCCCCGUGAGAUAAUGUAUGUAUCUGUUUUCAUCAAAGUCAAAGUAUGAAUAAACGAAUGGCGAUAUAUAUGGAGCGGGC